This is a non-coding RNA of Dermacentor albipictus, 428 nucleotides long. The record is from RefSeq and is a predicted model, not a curated record. NCBI's taxonomy places the organism in Eukaryota, Metazoa, Arthropoda, Arachnida, Ixodida, Ixodidae.
ACAGUUUUGGUAUCCUGGCUAGUAGGUGGCGAAUACUGAAGAGACCUUUUCGAGCGUCAGAAGAAACCACUGAGAACAUUGUAAGGGCAUGUGUGGCGCUUCACAAUUUUCUGAUGAAAGAUUCGGUGUUCGCAACAUACAACCCUCCUGGAUUUGUUGACCAUGAAGACUGGGAGGGAAAUGUCACAAAUGGGGCAUGGAGGAACGACAGCAGUGCCCUUCCUGGAUGGACAGACCAGGGCUACCACUCUGCUCGGGCUGCAUUGGAAGUAAGGGAUAGACUGGCAUCCUACUUCAUGAGUGACGGCCAGGUGCCAUGGCAGGAAAGUGUCGUGACCCGUGCAGGACGGCAGGAAAUGUGAACCAUGCCAGUACCUAGAGGAACGUCCAUUGGCUGCUCUCCUUUUGGCAGACCUGCAGGACAGGCC